Molecule: ribosomal RNA, 508 nt
Filed under: uncultured bacterium
Lineage: Bacteria
Description: partial 16S ribosomal RNA
Rfam family: Bacterial small subunit ribosomal RNA
Source: RNAcentral
GAUGAACGCUAGCUACAGGCUUAACACAUGCAAGUCGAGGGGCAGCAUGAAGUUUUCUUCGGAAGACUUUGAUGGCGACCGGCGCACGGGUGAGUAACGCGUAUCGAACCUGCCUCAUACUCGGGAAUAGCCUUGCGAAAGUAAGAUUAAUGCCCGAUGUUCUUGGUGUUCCGCAUGAGGCGCGAAGCAAAGAUGCAUUGGUAUGAGAUGGCGAUGCGUCCCAUUAGCUUGUUGGAGGGGUAACGGCCCACCAAGGCAUCGAUGGGUAGGGGUUCUGAGAGGAAGGUCACCCACAUUGGAACUGAGACACGGUCCAAACUCCUACGGGAGGCAGCAGUGAGGAAUAUUGGUCAAUGGACGGAAGUCUGAACCAGCCAAGUAGCGUGCAGGAAGACGGCCCUCCGGGUUGUAAACUGCUUUUAGUUGGGAAUAAAACGCGGGACGUGUCCCGCCUUGUAUGUACCAUCAGAAAAAGGACCGGCUAAUUCCGUGCCAGCAGCCGCCGCGG